RNAcentral lists this ribosomal RNA (467 nucleotides) under uncultured bacterium. RNAcentral's name for it is "partial 16S ribosomal RNA". It matches the Rfam family "Bacterial small subunit ribosomal RNA", at positions 28 to 506 of the family's 1533-position model. The record is from RNAcentral.
GACGAACGCUGGCGGCGUGCUUAACACAUGCAAGUCGAACGGUGAAGCUCCAGCUUGCUGGAGUGGAUCAGUGGCGAACGGGUGAGUAACACGUGAGCAACCUGCCCCUGACUCUGGAAUAAGCGCUGGAAACGGCGUCUAAUACUGGAUACGAGAAGGGUCCGCAUGGGCACUUUCUGGAAAGUUUUUCGGUUGGGGAUGGGCUCGCGGCCUAUCAGCUUGUUGGUGAGGUAAUGGCUCACCAAGGCGACGACGGGUAGCCGGCCUGAGAGGGCGACCGGCCACACUGGGACUGAGACACGGCCCAGACGCCUACGGGAGGCAGCAGUGGGGAAUAUUGCACAAUGGGCGAAAGCCUGAUGCAGCGACGCCGCGUGAGGGAUGACGGCCUUCGGGUUGUAAACCUCUUUCAGCAGGGAAGAAGCGAAAGUGACGGUACCUGCAGAAGAAGCACCGGCUAACUACGU